Long non-coding RNA from Mus musculus (house mouse), 6594 nucleotides. RefSeq annotates it as predicted gene, 46685. The record is from RefSeq and is a predicted model, not a curated record. The transcript has 2 exons. Lineage: Eukaryota; Metazoa; Chordata; Mammalia; Rodentia; Muridae.
UCUGAACAUCUACGCUCCAAAUGCAAGGGCACCCACAUUUAUAAAAGAAACUUUACUGAAGAAUACUGGCUGCACUUAUUAAAGGAUGUAUUUACUUGCUUCUAAAGUGAUGAAAGUCCAUCACCAUUGGGGGAGUAAUGGUGUUGCAUGAAGGCUUGGCAGUUGGUGCAGCCAGAGAUAUUAAGGAAUUGUAAUUGUUGCUUCCUGUUAUUUUUGUUGUUAGAGGUAGAAUUGUAUUUGUGUGGCUAUCUUCUUUUUAGUUUGUGGAAAGAUUACUUUCUUGCUUUUUUCUUUUUAGGGUGUAGUUUCCCUCCUUGUGUUAGAGUUUUCUGUCUUAUUAUCCUUUUAGGUUUGGUCUUCUCAUUGUGUCCUAGAUUUCCUGGAUGUUUGGGGUUAGAAGCUUUUUGCAUUUUGCAUUUUCUUUGACUGUUGUGUCAAUGUUUUAUAUGGUAUCUUCUGCACCUGAGAUUCUCUCUUCUAUCUCUUGUGUUCUGUUGGUGAUGCUUGCAUCUAUGACUCCUGAUCUAUUUCCUAGGUUUUCUAUCUCCAGGGUUGUCUCCCUUUGUGAUUUCUUUAUUGUUUCUAUUUCCAUUUUUAGAUCCUGGGUGGUUUUGUUCAAUUCCUUCACCUGCUUGGUUGUUUUCCUGUAAUUCUUUAAGGGAUUUUUGUGUUACCUCUUUAAGGGCUUCUGCCUGUUUACUUGUGUUCUUCUGUAUUUCUUUAAGGGAGAUAUUUAUGCCCUUCUUAAAGUCCUCUAUCAUCAUCAUGAGAUGUGAUUUUAAAUCAGUCUUACUUUUCUGGUGUGUUGGGAUAUCCAGGGCUCUUUGUGGUGGGAAAACUGGGUUCUGAUGAUGUCAAGUAGUCUUGGUUUCUGUUGCUUAUGUUUUUGCCCUUGCCUCUCUCCAUCUGGUUAUCUCUGGUGUUAGCUGGUCUUGCUGUCUCUUGACUGUAGCUUGUCCCUUCUGCAAGCCUGUGUGUCAGUUCUCCUGGGAGACCAGUUCUCUCUUGGAGUAAUUUGGGUAUGUAGAACUGUGGUCCAGGGUCAUCUCCAGGGUUGAGACAGAAACCAGAAGGAUCCUGUCCCUGGCUGUUCCUUGGCUCCUGUGUCCUGAUGGCUCUGGGUGGGUCCCUCUUGGGGAAGGAAUUUGAGCAGAAGUAGUGGUCUUACUCACAGGUAUGUCAGCACUCCUGGGAGACCAGCUCUCUCACAGUAGUAUUUGAGUAUGCACAGGGUCAGCUCCAGGCUCAGAAGGAAACCAGAGGGAUCCUGUCCCAGGCUGCUCCUAGGUUUCUGUGUCCUGAGGGCUCUGGGCCCUAUACAGAUUUUUUUUAAAAGCAGAAAACAAAAGUCAAAGCAAGAUAUUUGUAAAAAAGUGAUGGAGCUCAAAACUUAAGUAGCAAAAGGACAAAUAACAUGUUUGCUCUGUUGCUCACAUCCAAGAUUUUAAUUUUCUGUUCUACUUGAUAUAUAUGUAUAGUUGUGGAUAUAGGCCAUGAAACUAGAAAGGAGACUUUGGGAGAAGAAGGAAAGACAGAGGAGAAAACAUAUAUCAAAAUAGAAGGGGAGUGUGGUUGUGGUUUGAAUAUGCUUGGCCCAUGGGAAGUGGCACUAUUAGGAGGUGUGGCCUUGUUAAAGUAGGUGUUGCUUUGUUGGAGGAAGUGGGUCACUGUGUAGGCAGGCUUUGAGGUCUCCUAUUGUUGAAGCUUGGCCCAAGACCCAGAAGAGAGUCUCUCCUGGCUGCCUGCAAGAAGCCAUCCUCCUCCUGGCUGCCUUUGGAUGAAGAUGUAGAACUCUCAACUCAUCCUCCAGCACCAUGUCUGACAGGAUGUUGCCAUGCUUCCCACCCUGAUGAUAAUAGACUGAAUCUCUGAACCUGUAAGCCAGCUCCAAUUAAAUGUUGUCCUUUAUAAUAGUUGCCUUGGUUACAGUGCCUCUUCACAGCAAUGAAAUACUAAGCUAUCAUCAACACGAGGAAGAUAACUAGUGGAUCAGGGCUGCAUGAUGAGUAGGAAAAAAAGAGAAAGAAUAUGAUGUAAUGGUAACUUUGCAUAUGAAAUAAUAACAAAAUAAGACAGUUGUGGAUAUACUCAAUUGGUAGAGUAUUUGCUAGCAUAAGUGGAGCAUUGGGUUCAGUAACCAGAAUCUCAUAAAAUGGGAAUGGUAGCACAUGCCUAUAAUCCAAGCACUUGGUAGGUGGAGGUAGAAGAAUCACAAAAUCAAAAUCAUCCUCUUCAACACAGCAAGUUCAAGGACAUUUAUAUAUUAUAUAUUAUAUAUGUAUAUAAUAUAUAAUAUGAAACUGUGCCUCAGACUUAAAUUUAAUGGGGUUGGAGAGAUAACCUUAGUACUUAAGAGUACUCCAUGGUCUUGUAGAGGACCCAGUUUAGGUUCCCAGAACCUAUUUAGUUGCUCACAAACUCUUAUAACUCCAGUUCCAAGGGAAGUGGCACUCCCUUCUGAAUUCUGCAGGCACCAGGCACAUACAUGGUAUACAAAUGUACAUGCAGGCAAAACAUUAACAUAUUUUGUAUGUUUGUUUAAACAUUUUUCUGAGAGUUCUACAUAUGGAUAAACAAGCAUCAGGAAGACAGAUCGAAACUGGAACUGGAUUGGACUUCUGAAUCCUCAAAGUUCACACCCCAGUGACACACCUCCUCCAACAAUGCUACAACUUCUAAUCAUUCUCAAGAAAUAUAACUCUUGACUAUGCAUUCAAAUAUAUGACCUUAUGGGGGAUUCUUAUUCAAACCACUAUAGGAGUUCAUGAGAAAUAAGCAAUAAAUUGAAUCUUGGCUACAGCUAAGCUCACACUUACUUUUUAUGAACACGGAUAAUUCCAUGGCCAUUUAUUGAUCUUUAGUUCAUGGCUGGAUUCCACAUAAUUGGCACAUGGAUUAACCAUAAAUUAGGUUCCUGGAAUGUGAAAUAAGAGAUAUCAUAAUGCAGGUUGUUAAACGGAAACCUUGAAAGAGCUCCACUCUCUGCUGCUGUCAAGAGAGUAAAAGAUUAUAAAUGAGCUGGGUGGCAAUAUUAUCACAUAUUUGUUUAAUCUCUAGUCUCUGUUCUACAUAAAUCAUGUAGGCCUUGGUGAGUGUAUUAGAAUAGUGCAUACCUAAAUUAUGAAUAGACCAGCUAGCACCUUCUGAGGCAAAUAUGUUUGCCAUCUUGUACUGCUAUAAUGGAAUACCUCAGGCUGGGUAAUUUGUUAAGAAAAGAAACACAUUGGCUCACAGUUCUAGAAAUUGAGAAGUCCAAUAUAAAGGUGAGAGUAUUCUUGCUAAAUCCUGGUAGAAGAUCAUCUCCAUGGUGGAUAAAAUGUGAGAAACAUUGAAUUGUUACAUAGAAAACAAUCACACCUGAAACAUCAGCCAUUUUCUGCGGUGAAGGGAAACAGUGCUGUGUGCACUAAUGUGUUAGCUACUAUGAGUAAAAGUUAAAGGAGAAAAUCAGCACAAGACUAGUAACUGUUAUUGGGAUCAUGGUGAGAGCAGUAUUAAUAGAAGUCUUGUAGAGCUCAGAUGGCUUGGCUAAAGGUAGAAUGAUAAGAGACAUAAGGAAACACAAUGGGAUCACUCAGAAUAGUCUCAACUCACAGGAGCCAAAACCACUGGGCCCCUGCAAACCAAGCUAGCCUAUGUUCUUUGGGGAAGGAAGAUGAUAAAAGGGAAGGAUGGAGGAAAAGAAAAGGAAAGAGAUACAGUAUUAAAUACUGAAUGGUUAUUAAAUAAGGGAGAAAUUGGGACAUGAAUAAAAGAGGAAUGAAUGGCCAACAAGUGACUAGCCCAACUUGGGAUCCAUCUCAUGGACAGGCACCAAACCCUGACAAUAUAUACUGAUGCCAUGUUGUGCUUGAAGACAGGAGCCAAGCAUGGCUGUCCUCUGAGAGUCUCUACCAGCAGUUGACUGAGACAGAUACUGAUAUUUACACCCAACUAUUGGAUUGAAGUCAGGGGACCCCUAUGGAAGAAUUAGGGGAAGGACUGAAGGAGCUCAAAAGAAUAGUAAACCCAUAGGAAGAACAACUGUAUCAACUAACCUGGACUACUGGGAGCUCACAGACACUGUGUCACCAACCAGGGAGCAUACACGGGCUGGUCCAUGGCCCCUAGCACAUACAUAGAAGAGAACUAAUGUGUCUGGUCUCAAUCUAGUAGAGACUUGAUGCCCCAGGGAAGGGGGAUGCUGUAGGGGGGCACACUCUCAGAGGCAAAGGGGAAAGAGAGGUGGGAAAACUCUGUGAGAGUUAAUGGGAGGGGGAAACAUUUGGGCUGUAAAUAAAUAAUUAAUUCAUAAUAAUUUUAAAAGAGGAACAAAUGUUAAAGGGAGAGAACUGUGGCCUAGUCUGUUUGAUAUUCUCUAUUUUGAGUUUCUAGGCGUUUGUUCCCUGGCUCACUAAAACCUUUGGGUCUUCCUUUGCAAGGUCAGGUAAGAGACGCUGAUCAUACCUCCAGGGGAGAGUCGUCCUUCAUUGUGCCUUAAGGAAAAUGUUGCAAGUACUGUUCUUGCCUCUGGGAUUUCCUUUGGGAGACUGGGUAUAGAUGCUGGUCAGGGGAACAGACAUCACAACUUGACUCUCAAAUGCUAUUUACAUCUCUGCAUUCUUUUUGUGGCAUUAGAUUGUGAAUGUUGGCCAUGCCUCUGUGUACUCCUUCCUGAAGUUUGUUGCAUUUCUUGCAACCUGGCUUUGACCAGGUUGUAGUUCCUGAAAACCAUGCACUUGUGUUUCAACUCUCCUCACCCCACAUGAUCUAGUUCUACUGACUAAAUUUCAGCAUAUAACUAUCAUUUUUCCAGGUCUUCAGAUCACAGAGAGUCAUGGGUGGAGAACACACACAAAAAAGUUCUUUUACAAAUGGUGUUCUCAGUCUGUUGUAGUCAGGUUGUUGGUCACUAGAAGAGAGGGUUUACUUGGCGUCUCCUAAGGCUGAGGCCGUGGGCUUUCUGUCCAGUUUUCUUUUCCUGCUCCUUUCAUUGAGGAGCUACAAGGAUGGCUCAGCAGUUAAGAACACAUACUGUUCUUGCAUAAGUCUCAAAUUUAGUUCCUAGCACCAACUUCAGAUAGUUCCCAACAUCAUCUAACUCGAGCUCCAAGGUAUCCACCACCCUCUUCUUCUAGUCUCUGUGGGCAACUGCACUCAUGUACACACACACACACACACACACACACACACACACACACACACAAAUUGAUCUAUUUAUGUAUUUAUUUAUAUUUUUCAAAUAAUAUAAAACAAAAACAAAUGUAUUACAAUUUUAAAAGGCAAACAAACAAAAGAAAAAGAGCCCAAGGCAAGGCACAAGAGUCAGGGUCUCCAUAAAAACACUAAAUUGGAAGCCAUAAACUAUACUCAGAGAACCCAGAGCAGACCCCUACAGGCCCUAUGCAUGUUGCUUUGGUCUCUGUGCAUUCUUAUGAGCUUUACUUGUAUUAAUGGGGCCUUGUUUUCUUGCAUAUACACAUUUUAAAGUGUCUACAUGUCCAUCAGUGAAAUUGCACUGCAAACAUUCUGAACCUAUCUGGCUUAAGCUGUCAUUCCCACUGUCUGCUUAGUUUGGUACUUCCCAAAGUAAGCCAAGCUCUCUGAGAAGGGUCAUAGACAUUCUCUCCUGCUUGCUAAACCUUCCUGUUUUAUUUUUCCAUAAAAUAUAGAGAUUUGAGGCUGGAACUCACCUCUUCUGAUAACUGUCAUCCAACUCUCCACAUUUUAUUCUGGGGAGAUUUUAACAAGAAUGUGCUUGCGUAUCUGAUCCAGCUAUAUUUAACACCGGGAGAAGAGAUGGUGAAGUAGAAAACAGUUAGUCAUACUAUAAUGCACAAAACAAAUUUCAAAAUAGAAGAUGGAGCUUUUGAGGAGUGUCCCAAUUAAAGAAUUAACUCAAGCAUUUCAAAUUCAACCUUGGCACCUGAGGUCCUGAAAGAGAAGUAGACUGUGGGGGCCUGAUCUGUGUGGCUAUAAUUUGGCAACUGCUCAUGAAGACAAAAGUGCUUGCCAAAAGAAGGGCCCCUGGAAGUGUGCACUAGAAUCAGAAGUUUUCUUGUGGAUUACCUAUCCAACAGCCCUUGGGUCAUCAUAGGUCUCCGCUAAAUCUCUCAGCUCCUCCCAAACCAAAGUCCUCAUCUUAACAUCUUGCAUGUUUCAUGGCCUACCGGCUCAGAAACACAUGUCAAGUCUCCAUCAAGUUACUGACUCAGAGCCAAGGAGAAGGGAUCACAGUCCUAUUUAUGCACAGACCCUCUAAGCCCAAUGCUAAUCUGAGGCAGUCAGCACUGCCUUCAAUCUCAUGCCAUUUUCUCACUCCAGGUUCCUUAUGCACUGGGUGAUUUCCAACAUGGGUGUCUUACCGACGAUGUCCCUGAACACAGAACCUGACGUCUACAUGCAAUCAUGGCCUCUCAGUUGCUUAUUAAAGCAGAUAUCUUAAAGUUUAUAAGGUCUCUCAAGAAGGGAGCAAGUCGUGGACCUCAUACUCUUUUUCUAACAACAUGAGGCUUAUAGGCAUUUAUGACUGAGUCCUUGGUGACUGUCCUAGAUUACUAUCCUGAGAACUAGGAAGAGUGAUUGAGUGGGAAAUAAACGAGGCUUUGCACAGUG